RNAcentral lists this small RNA (577 nucleotides) under Pongo abelii (Sumatran orangutan). RNAcentral describes it as "processed transcript". Lineage: Eukaryota; Metazoa; Chordata; Mammalia; Primates; Hominidae. The record is from RNAcentral.
GGCUGUAACUGAGAGCUCCAGGGGUGGCUACUAGAUGUGCCCUCUCCUCCUUUCCCUUCUCUUCCUGCUGGGGACAAGGGCCUGUCCAGCUCCGUCCUAGACUUUUGAGAAUAUAGAUUGGGGAGGGGAGUAUAGGCAUAGAGAUGACAGAAUGACAAAUGAAAUUUGCCCUUUAAAAUUGUUCAAAAUAUGAUCUGCUAAACAUCUCCAGAAACGGACCAAUGGACUGCGAAGAACUCCUAAACAGGUGGAUCCAGGUCUUGCUCUGUUGCCCAGGCUGAAGUGCAGUGGCAAGAUCUUGGCUCCCUGCAACCUCUGCCUCCCAGGUUCAACCGAUUCUCGUACCUCAGCCACCCAAGUAGCUGGGAUUGCAGGUUUACCAAAGAUGCAGGUCAUUAGGAACUAUUCUGGAACACCACCCCCAGCUCUGCAUGAAGGACCCCCUUUACACCUCCAGGCCGGGGAUACGGUUGAACUUCUGAAAGGAGAUGCACACAGUCUGUUUUGGCAGGGCAGAAAUUUAGCAUCUGGAGAGGUUGGAUUUUUUCCAAGUGAUGCAGUCAAGCCUUGCCCAUGU